AGAGCGAACGCUGGCGGCAGGCUUAACACAUGCAAGUCGAGCGGGCGUAGCAAUACGUCAGCGGCAGACGGGUGAGUAACGCGUGGGAACAUACCUUUUGGUUCGGAACAACCCAGGGAAACUUGGGCUAAUACCGGAUAAGCCCUUACGGGGAAAGAUUUAUCGCCGAAAGAUUGGCCCGCGUCUGAUUAGCUAGUUGGUGAGGUAACGGCUCACCAAGGCGACGAUCAGUAGCUGGUCUGAGAGGAUGAUCAGCCACAUUGGGACUGAGACACGGCCCAAACUCCUACGGGAGGCAGCAGUGGGGAAUAUUGGACAAUGGGCGCAAGCCUGAUCCAGCCAUGCCGCGUGAGUGAUGAAGGCCCUAGGGUUGUAAAGCUCUUUUGUGGCGGAAGAUAAUGACGGUACCGCAAGAAUAAGCCCGGCUAACUUCGCGCCAGCAGCCGC
This 447-nucleotide ribosomal RNA is filed under the name uncultured bacterium. Its description in RNAcentral is "SSU rRNA". It matches the Rfam family "Bacterial small subunit ribosomal RNA", at positions 26 to 518 of the family's 1533-position model. The record is from RNAcentral.